GGCGUGCUUAACACAUGCAAGUCGAACGAUGAACCGCUUUCGGGCGGGGAUUAGUGGCGAACGGGUGAGUAACACGUGGGCAAUCUGCCCUGCACUCUGGGACAAGCCCUGGAAACGGGGUCUAAUACCGGAUAUGACUGUCCAUCGCAUGGUGGAUGGUGUAAAGCUCCGGCGGUGCAGGAUGAGCCCGCGGCCUAUCAGCUUGUUGGUGAGGUAGUGGCUCACCAAGGCGACGACGGGUAGCCGGCCUGAGAGGGCGACCGGCCACACUGGGACUGAGACACGGCCCAGACUCCUACGGGAGGCAGCAGUGGGGAAUAUUGCACAAUGGGCGAAAGCCUGAUGCAGCGACGCCGCGUGAGGGAUGACGGCCUUCGGGUUGUAAACCUCUUUCAGCAGGGAAGAAGCGAAAGUGACGGUACCUGCAGAAGAAGCGCCGGCUAACUACGUGCCAGCAGCCGCGGUAAUACGUAGGGCGCAAGCGUUGUCCGGAAUUAUUGGGCGUAAAGAGCUCGUAGGCGGCUUGUCACGUCGGUUGUGAAAGCCCGGGGCUUAACCCCGGGUCUGCAGUCGAUACGGGCAGGCUAGAGUUCGGUAGGGGAGAUCGGAAUUCCUGGUGUAGCGGUGAAAUGCGCAGAUAUCAGGAGGAACACCGGUGGCGAAGGCGGAUCUCUGGGCCGAUACUGA
This 687-nucleotide ribosomal RNA is filed under the name Streptomyces sp. Sp080513SC-02. RNAcentral's name for it is "bacterial SSU rRNA". It matches the Rfam family "Bacterial small subunit ribosomal RNA", at positions 41 to 743 of the family's 1533-position model. The record is from RNAcentral. Lineage: Bacteria; Bacillati; Actinomycetota; Actinomycetes; Kitasatosporales; Streptomycetaceae.